AUUGAACGCUGGCGGCAGGCCUAACACAUGCAAGUCGAACGGUAACAGGAAACAGCUUGCUGUUUCGCUGACGAGUGGCGGACGGGUGAGUAAUGUCUGGGAAACUGCCUGAUGGAGGGGGAUAACUACUGGAAACGGUAGCUAAUACCGCAUAACGUCGCAAGACCAAAGAGGGGGACCUUCGGGCCUCUUGCCAUCGGAUGUGCCCAGAUGGGAUUAGCUAGUAGGUGGGGUAACGGCUCACCUAGGCGACGAUCCCUAGCUGGUCUGAGAGGGUGACCAGCCACACUGGAACUGAGACACGGUCCAGACUCCUACGGGAGGCAGCAGUGGGGAAUAUUGCACAAUGGGCGCAAGCCUGAUGCAGCCAUGCCGCGUGUAUGAAGAAGGCCUUCGGGUUGUAAAGUACUUUCAGCGGGGAGGAAGGGAGUAAAGUUAAUACCUUUGCUCAUUGACGUUACCCGCAGAAGAAGCACCGGCUAACUCCGUG
RNAcentral lists this ribosomal RNA (490 nucleotides) under uncultured bacterium. Its description in RNAcentral is "partial 16S ribosomal RNA". It matches the Rfam family "Bacterial small subunit ribosomal RNA", at positions 30 to 507 of the family's 1533-position model. The record is from RNAcentral.